UACGUAGGGUCCGAGCGUUGUCCGGAAUUAUUGGGCGUAAAGAGCUCGUAGGCGGUUUGUCGCGUCUGCUGUGAAAUCCCGAGGCUCAACCUCGGGCCUGCAGUGGGUACGGGCAGACUGGAGUGCGGUAGGGGAGAAUGGAAUUCCUGGUGUAGCGGUGGAAUGCGCAGAUAUCAGGAGGAACACCGAUGGCGAAGGCAGUUCUCUGGGACGGUACUGACGCUGAGACGCGAAAGCGUGGGGAGCGAACAGG
Molecule: ribosomal RNA, 253 nt
Filed under: uncultured bacterium
Lineage: Bacteria
Description: partial 16S ribosomal RNA
Rfam family: Bacterial small subunit ribosomal RNA
Source: RNAcentral